Molecule: ribosomal RNA, 253 nt
Filed under: uncultured bacterium
Lineage: Bacteria
Description: partial 16S ribosomal RNA
Rfam family: Bacterial small subunit ribosomal RNA
Source: RNAcentral
UACGUAGGGCCCGAGCGUUAUCCGGUAUUAUUGGGCGUAAAGAGUAUGUAGGCGGUUUGAAAAGACACUGGUUAAAUCUCCAAGCUUAACUUGGAAUCAGCCGGUGUGACUGUCAGACUAGUCGAUAGCAGGGGCAAGCAGAAUUCUCGGUGUAGGAGUGAAAUCCGUUGAGAUCGAGAGGAAUACCAAUGGCGAAGGCAGCUUGCUAGGCUAUUUGAGACGCUGAGAUACGAAAGCGUGGGGAGCGAACGGG